RNAcentral lists this ribosomal RNA (406 nucleotides) under uncultured bacterium. RNAcentral's name for it is "bacterial SSU rRNA". It matches the Rfam family "Bacterial small subunit ribosomal RNA", at positions 97 to 517 of the family's 1533-position model. The record is from RNAcentral.
GGCGAACGGGUGAGUACACGUGGGCAACCUGCCCCUAGCACUGGGAUAACCCCGGGAAACCGGGGCUAAUACCGUGAUACGACCUCCGAGGGCAUCCUCGGUGGUGGAAAGGUUUACUGGCUAGGGAUGGGCCCGCUGGCCUAUCAGCUUGUUGGUGGGGUGACGGCCCACCAAGGCGACGACGGGUAGCCGGCCUGAGAGGGCGACCGGCCACACUGGGACUGAGACACGGUCCAACUCAUACGGGAGGCAGCAGUGGGGAAUAUUGCACAAUGGGCGAAAGCCUGAUGCAGCGACGCCGCGUGAGGGACGAAGGCCUUCGGGUUGUAAACCUCUUUCAGCAGGGACGAAGCGAGAGUGACGGUACCUGCAGAAGAAGCCCCGGCUAACUACGUGCCAGCCGCCG